RNAcentral lists this long non-coding RNA (3400 nucleotides) under Coffea arabica (coffee). RNAcentral describes it as "long non-coding RNA (CARA_LNC000529)". The record is from RNAcentral. Lineage: Eukaryota; Viridiplantae; Streptophyta; Magnoliopsida; Gentianales; Rubiaceae.
UCCAAGCGGUGGGAGGUUAGGAUUUAUCUGAGAUUGGAGCGGUGAGUUGAGACAGCUGCCAGGAAGGGAAUGCAUCACCAAAUUGCUGAAUAAGCCGUGACAGAUAGAGAGCAGCUUAAAAGAAACAAAAACUGGGUGGUGGCCAAAAGGAAACAAUCUGAUCUCCUUAAUCAAUAAGGCCGAGAGAAAACCAGAAGAAUAUAACUACUUAUUACUUUGCUUAUUAUCACCGUGAGAUAAACCAGAGAGAGAGCCGAGGGAGUUGAGAAGAAAAGUUGUCUUCCUUUCUUGUUUUUCUUCCUAAAGCAGACUCGAGUGAGUGAGACGAAGUGUGAGGAAAAAGAAAGUGCAAGCUCCACUAUCAGCUAACUAAGAAACUAUACCAACGAAGGCAAAAGGGAACAGGGAGGUCGAGUGAGGAGUUGGAAUAGCAAUCGAAGCAGUCUGCAACAUUUAAACCUAGGAGGAAGAGGUAAAUGCUAUAACCACUUUCUGUUUAGUUGGUUUAAUCCAUUAAACAUGAGCUAUAUAUGUUGAGUUAGCUAAGAAAUUAGUUCUGGUGCGAGAAACGUAUGCAGAAAUUAUGAAAUUGCAGCAACUAGAAGUUGUAACUGUUUUAAUAUCUUAGGAUGAUAACGUUGAGAAUCUACCAUAACCUUCUGCUUAUUUGGCACAAAUGAGUAUAUAUACAAGCUGCAUGUUAGUUUUAGCAAGGCAUAAUGAGUUUUAAUAGAGGAGAAAUCUGAUAAAGGAGAAAAAGAUGAGAACUGGACAGAAAUGGAGGGAACCGAGAGUUGUUGAGUUGCAGCCCAUAAACAAAGAAAAUUUUCUGUAAAAACCUCUUAGUUAUUCAGUACACUUGAAUAUUAAGGUUGCAUGUUGGAUUGUAGCUAAGAAAAGCUAAGUUUGGUUGAAGGAAAUAGUUGGAAGUUUCUGCUAUGCUGGCCGAAGGAGGAAAGAUAGAAAUGUCCAAGUUUCUUUAUAUAUUUUGGUUCUAAACUCCUACGUUGAAGCUUAGUUCAUUGCAUAAUAUUUUAGUUUUGGCAUGCAUGUUAGAUUUGGGUAUGAAAUGAAGUAGUUAAUGGAGGAAUUUCUUGCUAAAAGAUUGAUUGCUGUCCGAAGCUUUCUAUCAAGGCCGAGAGAGAGAGAGAGUUAAACCUUUGAUCAGUUUUUCCUUCAAACUCCUCUCUGUAAACUUUCACAUCUGAUAUCUAAAGUUACUCGGUAGUUUAAUACUUGUAUUUAGCAUGAUGAGCUGGAGUUAAAACUGAAGGAGUUAUGGUAAAAAUGUUGCAUAUUAAACUGCGGCACUGCUGGAAGCUUUAGUUGUCCAAAGUCUUAGCUGAUGUCAGAUUGUUAUGCGUGGCUGUUGGGUUGAGUAAUCUGUUGAAACUAGAUGCUCUUCAUCUUGGUUUAUGCUGGACUGAAUGUACUUUAAAUAUUUAGAGCUUUAAGCAAGUGAAAGAAUAGCGUUUUGCCGAAAGCUUGAAGUAACGUUACUAGUUUUGGUUGCUGUCCAAGAAAUGAAACAGAUUGUGCUUCUGACCGACCCAUUUUGGCCUUGAAAACGUGACAACUAGGUAUCGAUAUCUUCAUAAGAAAUGUAGGUCUAUAUCUUAGCUUCGAAACGCUAUAAAAUUUGCCUCAAUCCGAUAAGUGUACCUCUAGUUAUGAUCGAAAUACCAGAGGAUGGCAAAGCUGCCUUUCUCGUUGCCUUUCAUUUUGUUUCCGAAUGCACUUGCUAAGAUGCUAGCCGUGAGGAACUAGUUUUAACCAGCAUUUCUUCUAAUUUCCAACCUGUAAGCUUUCAUAAAUGAUAGCUACGAUUGUUCUGAGAAUUAACGACUAUACCUAGUUCCAUAAGUAGAGUUAAACUAAGACGAUUGAGUGAAAACUCACGAUAGUUAUAUACGUAAAGUGGCCUCUAAUUAUUUAAUAUUGUCUUCACAAAUAUUUUAAAGGCUAUAGAAUUUGAGAGGCUAGUGUAGUGAAAUAAAAUUUAAAGUGCACACAACUUAGACCUUGGCUUGUUAAAAGGAGAACCAAUGGAGUAUCUAUAAGUCAUAAUUAAUAUUGGAUUAAGAAAGUAUAUUGGUUUGAACGGUUAUACAAGUUUAUAAACUUGAAGAUAGGUUUGUUUCAUGAAUUAAAAAUAAUAAAGUCAAUAAGUUUCGAAAAUAAAAGAAUGAAUAAAUAUGAAGAAUGUUAAAUUUGUAUUUCAAGGUCAAACUUGAUUUUAAUAGUUUAAAUAAUAAUGUAAGAAUGAUAAAUGAUCAUCUACAGAUUAUAUAGUUACAUUGAAAUUAUUAACUUGUCCCAGGAAAUAGCUGUGGGCCAGGAAACAAACCCGACGCUCGAGAGUAAAUUAUUUGGAUAAUUGGUGAGUGUUCCUUGUUUGUUAUAUUUCCCUUGACUACAUGGCUUAUUGUGAAUAUUUGAUAAUGUGUUAAGUGCUCUCAAUGAUUGCCAAAAGAGUUUUCUAGGCGAGUGUGUACUUUAUCGCACUCGACCUAAAUGAUUGUGACAUUUUCAAUGAUUGAACGAUUGAAACGUUACUUGUGCAUGAAUGUAAGCCUUUUGGCUGAAUUGAGCCCUGCCCUUCGUUACCGAUCGACUCGAGCCAGAAGCGGACUCGGUCGGGCGAUAUGGUGACCCUGGGUGAAUGUUUGGUAUACUCGAGUAUUACCUUGAAGUCUGGUGGAGCCUGGCCAACGUCCAGGAGGGGGUAAAUGAAAUGAAUGAACGAAUAUCAAUGCGAAUGAGGGGUUUUACUUACAAAAAUGCAUUUUCAAAUGAUUGGAGAAAUAAGGGAAUGAAAGGAGAAUGAAUGAAUGAACGAAUGGCUCCUCGUGAGCACGUAUCCUUUUAAUGAAUGUAUUAUUGCUUUAUAUUGUAAAUGUUACUUGAAUUAUUGGUUAUCUAUGGUUAAUGUAUUGAGUUCAUUGUUUAAUUAUGUGAUUGGAACCUCACUGAGGUUUUAGCUCAUCCCUUUAGUUUUGUUUUCCUUAACAGGGGAAGACAAGCAAGGACGAGAGCUCUGUAUAAACUAGUUUAGUCUAGAUCUUUGAAUUUUGUAAUGGUUUUCGCCCUAGCGUUGGCACGGGCUGGAUGUAUAAAGAAUUGAAAAUCUUUGUACUCUUGAAUUCGUACUCCCUUUCGAGAUAGAAAUGCAUAUAAGUUUCACGUUAAAUUUUGGAUUUCGGACUUGCUUUAUUUCGAUUUUUUUUGUGGUUUUAUUUCGGAUUUGUUUGAAGUAUGACUGAGUCCCGGCGAAAGUUGGGCAGGCGGUCCGCCGAACCCUUUGGUUCGCCUUAGGGGGAAGUGGGGUUGUCACAAUAGAGGUUUCAUGUAUUGUUUGAUUACUUAUUAAUUAGUUUAUCAAUUCAAUUAUAUUAAUGAA